This is a non-coding RNA of Phrynosoma platyrhinos (Desert horned lizard), 74 nucleotides long. The record is from the annotation of a GenBank genome assembly. Lineage: Eukaryota; Metazoa; Chordata; Lepidosauria; Squamata; Phrynosomatidae.
GCCAGCGUGGCAUAGUGGAAUUAGCAUUAGGGACUACAACUCUGGAGACCAGGGUUCAAUUCCCAGGUCAGCCA